GAUGAACGCUGGCGGCGUGCCUAAUACAUGCAAGUCGAGCGAACGGACGAGAAGCUUGCUUCUCUGAUGUUAGCGGCGGACGGGUGAGUAACACGUGGAUAACCUACCUAUAAGACUGGGAUAACUUCGGGAAACCGGAGCUAAUACCGGAUAAUAUUUUGAACCGCAUGGUUCAAAAGUAAAAGACGGUCUUGCUGUCACUUAUAGAUGGAUCCGCGCUGCAUUAGCUAGUUGGUAAGGUAACGGCUUACCAAGGCAACGAUGCAUAGCCGACCUGAGAGGGUGAUCGACCACACGGGAACUGAGACACGGUCCAGACUCCUACGGUAGGCAGCAGUAGGGAAUCUUCCGCAAGGGGCGAAAGCCUGACGGAGCAACGCCGCGUGAGUGACGAAGGUCUUCGGAUCGUAAAACUCUGUUAUUAGGGAAGAACAUAUGUGUAAGUAACUGUGCACAUCGUGACGGUACCUAAUCAGAAAGCCACGGCUAACUACGUG
Molecule: ribosomal RNA, 497 nt
Filed under: uncultured bacterium
Lineage: Bacteria
Description: partial 16S ribosomal RNA
Rfam family: Bacterial small subunit ribosomal RNA
Source: RNAcentral